UACGAAGGGUGCAAACGUUGCUCGGAAUUAUUGGGCGUAAAGCGCACGUGAGCGGCUUAGCAAGUCGGAAGUGAAAUCCCUCGGCUCAACCAAGGAAGUGCUUUCGAAACUGCUGAGCUUGAGUACUUAAGAGGAUCGCGGAAUUCCCGGUGUAGAGGUGAAAUUCGUAGAUAUCGGGAGGAACACCAGUGGCGAAGGCGGCGAUCUGGGAAGAUACUGACGCUGAGGUGCGAAAGCGUGGGGAGCAAACAGG
Molecule: ribosomal RNA, 253 nt
Filed under: uncultured bacterium
Lineage: Bacteria
Description: partial 16S ribosomal RNA
Rfam family: Bacterial small subunit ribosomal RNA
Source: RNAcentral